AGUGAACGCUGGCGGUAGGCCUAACACAUGCAAGUCGAACGGCAGCACAGUAAGAGCUUGCUCUUACGGGUGGCGAGUGGCGGACGGGUGAGGAAUACAUCGGAAUCUACUUUUUCGUGGGGGAUAACGUAGGGAAACUUACGCUAAUACCGCAUACGACCUACGGGUGAAAGCAGGGGAUCUUCGGACCUUGCGCGAUUGAAUGAGCCGAUGUCGGAUUAGCUAGUUGGCGGGGUAAAGGCCCACCAAGGCGACGAUCCGUAGCUGGUCUGAGAGGAUGAUCAGCCACACUGGAACUGAGACACGGUCCAGACUCCUACGGGAGGCGGCAGUGGGGAAUAUUAGACAAUGGGCGCAAGCCUGAUCCAGCCAUACCGCGUGGGUGAAGAAGGCCUUCGGGUUGUAAAGCCCUUUUGUUGGGAAAGAAAAGCAGCAGGUUAAUACCCCGCUGUUCUGACGGUACCCAAAGAAUAAGCACCGGCUAACUUCGUG
This 492-nucleotide ribosomal RNA is filed under the name uncultured bacterium. Its description in RNAcentral is "partial 16S ribosomal RNA". It matches the Rfam family "Bacterial small subunit ribosomal RNA", at positions 29 to 507 of the family's 1533-position model. The record is from RNAcentral.